AUGGUUAGGCUAAGUGUGCCUGUGGCUGUGGUCAUGCCUUGGUUAGCUCUCCUGCUCAUGGCCGUGCUAGCUGCCCGGCUGAUCCAUUUGCUAUUGAUGAGAUGGAACAGCAGUAGCCCAUACAAGGUAGCAGGGGCGGCAGCUGCAAGGCUGCCGCCGGGGUCGAGGGGCUUCCCCGUCAUUGGCGACACGCUCGAGUUCUUCAGCCAAAGCCCAUCGCUCGAGCUGGUCCCCUUCUUCAAGCGACGUCUUGAGCGGUAUGGUCCAAUUUUUAGGACAAGUUUGUUUGGUGAAGACCUCAUAGUUUCCAUGGACAAAGAGCUGAACAACUUGGUGUUCCAGCGAGAGGAGAAGCUAUUCCAAAUCUGGUACCCGGAGUCGGUCAUGAGAAUCUUUGGAGCCGACAGCAUCAUCUCAAAACUUGGGUCCUUCCACAGGCACAUGAGGAGUCUAGUCCUUAGGCUCUUUGGCCCUAAAAAUCUCAGGCUAGUCAUGCUCCAUGAUGCUCAGCGAACGGUCCAGACCAGCCUGCUCUUGUGGCUCAAUCAACCCAGCAUUGAACUGAAAGAGGCAACUGCAAGUAUGAUAUUCAGCAUCACAUCAAAGAGGUUAAUCAGCUAUGACUCCUCAAACUCAGAUGGGAAGCUCUGGAAGCAAUUCGAUGCAUUCUUUCAGGGAAUGCUAGCAUUUCCACUCUACAUCCCUGGCACGGCAUUCUACAAAUGUAUGCAGGGACGAAAGUAUGUCAUGGCGACUUUGAGGAAGAUGCUAGAUGAGAGGAUGAGGGCAUCACAUCAAGAGAGCGCCGACUUUCUCGAUCUACUGAUCGAUGAUUUGAAAGAGGAGAAGCAUUUAAUGAAUGAGAAAAUUGCGUUGGAUUUGCUCUUCUUGUUGCUCUUCGCCGGCUUUGAGACCACGUCAUCCGCGAUAACUGCCACAGUCAAACUCCUAACAGACAAUCCGAAAGCGCUACAGGAACUUACAGAGGAGCACGAGAACAUCCGGAAAAGAAGGGUUGACCCUGACUCCGAAAUCACAUGGGAGGAAUACAAGUCCAUGAAAUUUACGUCUCAUGUCAUACACGAAGCAUUAAGGCUGAUUAACAUUGCUCCGAUAAUGUUUAGAAAAGCUACAGAGGAUGUUCAUGUAAAAGGUUACAUUAUACCAAAAGGAUCAAAGAUCAUGAUUAACCCUUCUAUUGUUCAUCUGGAUCCUACAAUUUACGAGGACCCCAAUGCAUUCAAUCCAUGGAGGUGGAAGGGUACUGCUGAACCAGUUAGUGGUGCCCCCAAGGAAUUCAUGGCUUUUGGAGGCGGGCUGCGGUUAUGUGUUGGUUCAGACUUUGCUAAGCUACAGGUGGCUAUCUUCCUUCAUUGCUUAGUUACUAAAUACAGAUGGAAUGUGAUCAAGGGAGGAACCAUGGUGCUUUCUCCUGGACUACAAUUUCCUGGUGGUUUUCACAUCCAACUUCUCCCAAAAGCUUGA
This 1485-nucleotide ribosomal RNA is filed under the name Triticum aestivum (bread wheat). RNAcentral describes it as "partial small subunit ribosomal RNA". The record is from RNAcentral. Lineage: Eukaryota; Viridiplantae; Streptophyta; Magnoliopsida; Poales; Poaceae.